RNAcentral lists this ribosomal RNA (167 nucleotides) under uncultured Paracoccaceae bacterium. Its description in RNAcentral is "uncultured Rhodobacteraceae bacterium partial 16S ribosomal RNA". It matches the Rfam family "Bacterial small subunit ribosomal RNA", at positions 340 to 524 of the family's 1533-position model. The record is from RNAcentral. Lineage: Bacteria; Pseudomonadati; Pseudomonadota; Alphaproteobacteria; Rhodobacterales; Paracoccaceae.
UACGGGAGGCAGCAGUGGGGAAUAUUGGACAAUGGGCGCAAGCCUGAUCCAGCCAUGCCGCGUGAGUGACGAAGGCCUUAGGGUUGUAAAGCUCUUUUGGCGGGGAAGAUAAUGACGGUACCCGCAGAAUAAGCCCCGGCUAACCCCGUGCCAGCAGCCGCGGUAAU